AACGAACGCUGGCGGCAUGCCUAACACAUGCAAGUCGAACGGCAGCACGGGAGCAAUCCUGGUGGCGAGUGGCGAACGGGUGAGUAAUAUAUCGGAACGUGCCCGGUCGUGGGGGAUAACGUAGCGAAAGCUACGCUAAUACCGCAUACGAUCUACGGAUGAAAGCGGGGGAUCGCAAGACCUCGCGCGAUUGGAGCGGCCGAUAUCAGAUUAGGUAGUUGGUGAGGUAAAGGCUCACCAAGCCGACGAUCUGUAGCUGGUCUGAGAGGACGACCAGCCACACUGGGACUGAGACACGGCCCAGACUCCUACGGGAGGCAGCAGUGGGGGAAUUUUGGACAAUGGGCGCAAGCCUGAUCCAGCAAUGCCGCGUGCAGGAUGAAGG
RNAcentral lists this ribosomal RNA (385 nucleotides) under uncultured bacterium. Its description in RNAcentral is "bacterial SSU rRNA". It matches the Rfam family "Bacterial small subunit ribosomal RNA", at positions 29 to 414 of the family's 1533-position model. The record is from RNAcentral.